RNAcentral lists this transfer RNA (66 nucleotides) under Chelonia mydas (Green sea turtle). It matches the Rfam family "tRNA". Rfam says of the family: Transfer RNA (tRNA) molecules are approximately 80 nucleotides in length. Their secondary structure includes four short double-helical elements and three loops (D, anti-codon, and T loops). Lineage: Eukaryota; Metazoa; Chordata; Testudines; Cheloniidae. The record is from Rfam by way of RNAcentral.
GGCAGGGUGGCCUAGCGGCUAGGGUAUUAGAUUGGGACUCUGGAGGUUCUAUUCCCAGCUUUGCCA